Molecule: RNA transcript, 1878 nt
Organism: Cicer arietinum (chickpea)
Lineage: Eukaryota; Viridiplantae; Streptophyta; Magnoliopsida; Fabales; Fabaceae
Gene name: tubby-like F-box protein 3
Source: RefSeq, a predicted model, not a curated record
CUCAUAAAAUCAAUCAUCCAAACAAAUUUAACAGUCUCACCAAUUUUUUCUUCUCACAGACAAAACAACAAAGAAACAGUUAUUCAAAUUCAAUUAUCCUUUUAUCACAAACAAACUCUCACUUUUUUCCUCUUCCUUUGACACACACACAAAAAUAAUCCAUUUGUUUCAUUCCCCACAAAACAAAAAAUCAAAUAUUAAAUUAACUUCCCCUGAAUCAACUCUGUUUGAAAGUCGAAAAUUUGAAAAUUUGGGAUAGAAAUUGGUGAUCUGGGUAUGGCUAUAAUAAGGAGUAUAAUAGAAGACAUGAGAUCCAGAUCUCAUAGGGUAGCGGUUGUGGUAGAUAAGGAAGAAGAGAAAGUGGUGGUUGGUGAUAGUUUAAGGCAAAGUUGUUGGGCCAACAUGCCUCAAGAGCUUCUCCGUGAAGUUCUUCUCCGAAUUGAGGCGUCGGAAGACACGUGGCCGCCGAGGAAGAACGUUGUUGCAUGUGCUGGAGUGUGCCGGAGUUGGAGAGUUAUCACUAAAGAAAUCGUUAAAAAACCUGAACUUUCAUCUAAGAUAACUUUCCCCAUUUCUGUUAAGCAGCCGGGCCCAAGGGAGAAUCUCAUUCAAUGCUUUAUAAAGCGCAACCGGUCCACUCAAACGUAUUAUUUAUUUCUCAGUUUAACUAGUUCGCUAGGUGACGACGGAAAGUUCCUUCUGGCUGCACGCAGAUGUAGACGUCCUACAUGCACAGAUUAUAUUAUCUCUCUACAUGCCGAUGAUAUGUCAAGAGGAAGCAACAACUAUGUUGGGAAACUGAGAUCAAAUUUCCUCGGAACGAAGUUCACAGUCUAUGAUGGCCAGCCACCUCAUGCAGGGGCAAACAUUACUAAAAGUCGUUCAACUAGGUUGGUGAAUCUGAAGCAGGUUUCACCAAAGGUCCCAAAUAGAGACUUUACGGUGGCCCACAUCUCAUAUGAAUUGAAUGUGCUAGGCUCUAGGGGGCCUAGGAGAAUGCAUUGUGUCAUGAAUUCCAUUCCUGCCUCUUCAAUUGAACCGGGAGGGGAAGCACCUACACAGACUGAGUUUUCUUUUAACAGCGUAGAUAUGUUUCCCCUGUUUCCUUUUUUCCGAUCAAAAUCAAAUCGUGUGGACAAAUCUCUAUCUGGACCCCUUGGUGAUCAAAAGGAUGGUAAGCUUGUGUUGAAAAACAAGGCUCCUAGGUGGCAUGAGCAGCUACAGUGUUGGUGCUUAAACUUUCACGGACGGGUGACAGUUGCCUCAGUUAAAAACUUUCAGUUGGUGGCUUCCGCAGAAAAUGGACCUGCUGGACCGGAACAUGAUAAGAUUAUCCUGCAAUUUGGAAAAGUUGGGAAGGAUUUGUUUACGAUGGAUUACCGAUACCCUAUCUCGGCAUUUCAGGCAUUUGCAAUCUGCCUCAGCAGCUUCGAUACCAAGAUUGCUUGUGAAUAACAACAUGUUUAAACAGUGGAUGAAAAUAGGAAACACAUGAAGUAAACUGGCCCUAAGUUUUCUAGCCAAUGCUUGAUUGCAUAGGUUGAAUCCAUGUUAUAUAUAUUUAUGAAGGUGAUUGGAUGGUAUUCAAACUGAAUCUAUAAAGACGGUGUUGCACAUAUGAGAGGGUUUUCAGUUAGUUCACCAUUCAUUGUAUGAAAAAUUGGAAUGUUACUAUUCCCUUUGUACUGUACAUAAAUUAUUUCUUUCUUUCUCUCUCAAAUUUUCUUUUCUUAACAAUUUGCUUUUUUUAAUUUGGUUGUUUGCUUUAUGCAAUGUGUAAUAUAGUUGUUUGUGUCUACUUGUAAUAAGAAAUGAUAAUACUGUUACUAUGUGGACUUUCUAAUGUAGCAACACAUUGGUUUCAUUGUGCAUGGAGAA